RNAcentral lists this long non-coding RNA (12522 nucleotides) under Homo sapiens (human). RNAcentral describes it as "HSALNT0067707". The record is from RNAcentral. Lineage: Eukaryota; Metazoa; Chordata; Mammalia; Primates; Hominidae.
AAGAAUUUGGAACCCAUGCUAUAUGAUAAACCAUAAAAAGGUACAUAUUUUAGGAGGUUCAAAAGAGAGAAAACUUUUUUUUAUUGUUUAAAGAUAUAAUGUGUUAAAAUUUUCCCAAUCUUGGAAGAAAUACAGACAUUCAGUUUUAUGAGGCUCAAAAUAUCAGUAGCAAGAAGAACUUGAUAAAAAACUUGCCCAGGACACAAUUAUAAUUAAACUGCCAAAAAUUCAAAGACAAUGGGAGAUUCUUAAAAGAAGCAAGAAAAAGAGAUUCUUCUCAUAUAAGGGAACAUCUAUAAGGUUAUCAGUAAAUUGCUCAGCAGAAACCAUGCAAGCCACACAGAAGUGAGACCGUAUAUUUAAAGUGCAAAUGAACAGAGAAAAAGAAAAAACGUUGACAAAUAAGGAGACUAUACCUGACAAAACUGUCCUUUACAAAUGAAGUAUCAAUCAAGAUAUUCUCAGAUUAAAAAAUAAGUUGAGGGAAUUUAUAAUCACUAGACCUGUCUUACAAAAAAAUGUUAAUGAGAAUUUUUCAAGUUAUAAGGAUGGAAUCCUAACUUACAGCAAGAAAACAUAUAAAAGUAUAAAUCUUACUGGAAAACAUAUAUAUAUAUAUAUAUAUAUAGAAGGCUAUAUCACUAAUUAUGGUGCAUAAAUCACUUUUAACUCUGAUAUAAGUUACAAAAAAAGCAUUAAAACACAUAUAGCUUCAGUAUAUUUGUUAACAGGUACACAAUAUUAAAAAAAAGUAAAGGGUGACAUAAAUAGUGUGUUAAAGGAAGUAAAAUUGUUUAAUUUUUCUAUACAUAGAAGGUAACUUUUGCUUGAGGCCUGGAGUUCAAAACCAGCCUGGUCAAUAUAGCGGGACUCUGUCUCUAAAAUAAAUACAUGAAUAAAAUAAAAUAAAGAUCUCACAAAGCUGUUUGGUUUUUUUAAAAAAAGAAGCACUGGGUGUGAUGUCUCAUGCAUGUAAUCCUAGCACUUGGAGAGGCCAAGGCAGGUGGAGUGCUUGAACCCAGGAGUUCAAGACCAGCCUGAGCAACAUGGCAAAACCCUGCCUCUAUAUAAAGUACAAAAAAAAGUAGACAGACUUGUGCUUGUAGUCCCAGCUACUCAGGAGGGUAAGGUGGGAAGAUUGCUUGAGCCUGGGGAGGUCGAGGCUGCACUAAGCUGUGAAUGUACUGCACUUCAGCCUGAGUAACAAAGGAAGACCCUAUCUGUACAAAAAAAGAAGUUACAUUGUUAUCUCAAGCUAGACUUUUAUAACUAUGAGAUGUUUUAUGUAAGUCUCUUGGAAAUUAAAAUAAAAAUGGCAGUAGAUACAAAAGAAAAAGAAUCAAAGCAUAUAAGAAAAACAAAACAAAAAUUCAAGAAAACGCAAGGGAAGAAAGCAUGAAAGAAUUAAAACACAGAAACUACUAACUGGUCAGAAAACAAUGAACAAAAUGGCAGUAAUAAGUUCUCAUCAAUAAUUCCUCUAAAUAGAAAAACAUUUACUUAUCCAGUGAAAACAUAUUGCUAUUGUUUGAGUGUCCCUCCAAAAUUUAUGUUAAUAUUUAACUGCCACUGUGAGAAAAUGAAGUGAGCCCCUUAAGAAGCUAUUAGGUUAUGAGAGCUCUACUCUCAUGAAAGGGUUAGUAUCAUUAUUCCCACACUGGGAAUUAGUGGUUCGAAGAUGAAAAAGAAUAUUCCAUGCCAAUAACUAAAAAAGUGUACGAGUGGCUAUAUCAAACAAAAGAGACAUAUAGAAAAAAAAAAUCUGUCACAAAAAAAACUUUGCAUAUGAUGGGGUCUUAUAUUUGAAAAAACCUACUUCACUAAAACACCAUUAGAACUCAUACAUUUAGUCAAGAUACAGGAUUAAAAAAUUAGUGUUUCUACAUGCCAACAGUGAACAAUGUGAAAAUCAAACCAAGAGAGUAAUUCCAUUUACGGUAGCCACAAAUUAAAAUUAAAUACCAGGAAUGAACUUAACCAAAGAAGUGAAAGAUCUCUAUGAUGAAUACUAUAAAACAUCGAUGCAAGAAAUUAAACAAGAGAAAAAAAAGGAAAGAUAUUUUAUGUUCAUGAAUAGGAAGGAUCAGUAUUAUUAAAAUUUUCAUACUACCCAAAAUGAUCUACAGAUUUAAUGCAAUUCCUAUCAAAGCAUCAAUGACAUUCUUCACAGAAAUAGGAAAAACAAUCUUAUAAUGUAGACAGACCCAUAAAAGACUCAAAAUAGCCAAAGCCAUUGUACCAGAAAAGAAACUGGAGGAAUCAUAGUAUUUGAAUUUAAAUGAUACAACAGAGCUACCGUAAUUAAAAUGGCAUAAAACUGAUCAGUAAAACAGUAGAGCGAAUGCAGAGAUAAAUCCAUAUUACAGCAAACUUCUUUUUGACAAAGCUGUCAGGAAUAUAUUGUUACCGCUAGAAAGUAUCCGGGUUCUUGGCAUCUUGAACAAAGAAUUGGACAAAAUACACAAAGCAAGGAAGGAAUAAAAGGAUUUACUAAAAAUGAAAGUACACUCCACAGUGCGGGCCCGAGCAUAGGGGCUCGAAGGCCCCCUUACAGAAUUUUUGGGAGCUUAAAUACCACCUAGAGUAUUCCAUUGGUUACUUUGGGUAUGCCCAACGUAAAUGGAGAGGGUGAAGUAAAUUUAGUUAUUAACGGUGGAUGCCCUAUGGAGAGGAUAUUUCCUGUUAUAGCUGAAGUGUGAAUUGGGCUUAUGGUCCCUGCCUCCAGACCGUUUUCCUGCCUCAUGUCCCCCGAGAGAUGUGAUCCCCAUAAAUCCUUAUAGGAGACGGGGGGGUCAACGGUCUUUUUCUUUCUGUAACUGCUUUAUGCUGGCUUGGGGCAUAGUCCCUGUCUAUUGGGGAUCACAGUACUCUCGCCCUGUUCUGUCUAGUGGAGGCAGGGUAGUUUCUUGAUGGCCAGGGGUGUGUUUUCACCUGGAACUGGCUGGAGAUUUCACUGCAUGAUCAGUGAAGCUUGAUGGUCUCUAGGCAAGAGCAAACGUGUUUGGUUAAAAGAUAUAAUGGGGGUGGAUACCUAUGCUGUUAAGAAUGUUUGUUACAGAGAUUUGCAGGAGAAAAAAAACCUGAUUUGUUCUAGAAUUUAUGUGUUUCCUUAAAGUCUUGGCACAAGCAACUCCAUUUUGUUUUGGUCUGUUGGUGCCUAGUGUAUGAGCUUAGUCCAAAACAAUGGCAUCCCAGAAUUUUGUUUAAAAACUUCCCCCUUGGCCGUGCACACUGGCUCACGCCUGUAAUCCUAGCACUUUGGGAGGCUAAGGCAGGUGGAUCACAAGGUCAGGAGUUCAAGAUCAGCCUGGACAAAAUGGUGAAACCCCGUCUCUACUAAAAAUAGAAAAAUUAGCCAGGCGUGGUGGUAGGCACUAAUCCCAGCUACUUGGGAGGCUGAGGCAAAGAAUUGCUUGAACCUGGGAGGCAGAGGUUGCAGUGAGCCAAGAUUACACCACUGCACUCCAGUCUGGGUGACAGAGACUCCGUCUCAAACAAAACAAAACGAAAUUCCCCCUUUUUGGUUAGGUUCUCACUUAGAUUAGUGUGUGUCCAAAAUUUAGGGCCUUAGAGCCACUCUCAGUUACCAUCAUUUUGGAUUUCUGGUCUCAGCACAUUAUUUAUAGGUUACGGUGUUCUCAUGGUUGCACGUUUCUUUUAGCUUCUGUUAUUCUAGUUGAAGAGAGACCAUAUGACAUCCUAGAGAUGGCUGCAUGCAAGCAUUUAAAACCUUUGAGAGAAUACAGCACACAAGGGAGACUAUUAUUAUGACUAUUGGGAGGAAAAUACCAAGAGUUCACAGUAUGCUCCUUACUCAAGGUUUCCAUAAACCAAACCUCGUAAAAUUAAAUAGAUCAAAGAAUGAGCCAGAUAAAGAGUUUACUUACUUAACUAAGCAAUUUCUUUGUUAAUCCCCUACCACUGAAUUUCUAUAAUCUUCAUUUGAUGUAUUUCUCCAUAAGCCACAAGUGCCAGCAGCUGCACAGGUACCUCUUUGUUUAGUCAAUUCUAUUAUAACUUUCACAAAAGAAUUUAAAGUCUAUUGUGUAACUGUAGCCUUUACAGUAGAAUUUGCUAUAGAGCCUAUCAUGAGGGAUACCUUUUUAAAUCAUUGCUUCUUUUACUUUAAACCAUGGGAAAGGACCUAACAAAUGAUGCCCCUCUAGAAGAGUGAAGGCCUCCUGGCAAUGGUCUCUUUAGCCCACGGUGUGGGUUAACAGGAGUGAACCAAUGUUUUGUUUUUGGACUGAUUAUGAGGCAAUGUAUGUACCAUUAAAGUUUCUUACUUACACUGACUGGGCUUUCAUCUUUUAUUUAUCUAAGUAUAAGCUUAUCCAUAUAUAAGGCUGGCUGCAAACUCCUUCACAAAUAGAAGUAUACUCCAUAAAUGCACUUAACAGAUCCCUUUUCUACUUUUAAUGUUUGUAGAAGCAUAAGAAAAAAAAUUCAAAGGUAAGAGUUUUAUGAUAGAAGUUUUAAUUUGUGAACUUGGGAAAAGCUGUUUACAUCAAGGAUGCCAUCUUCUUGGGAGAAAUCUCCCUGGUUAGCUUCACCUCAAGGGUUCCAAUGGCUGCACAGUUCCAAAAAUGUGGAGGGACCCUUAUCAAAACCCGUUAACCUAAAGCCCAAAGUCCUGACAUUUUGUUGUAGUGUGGGUGGCAAGGACAGUUUUUCUCCUAUGUUCUCAGAAGAUUUAAACCAUAAAAAGCUUUUUUACCUGCUGGAAAUAUACUGUAGCAUAAUAAUCUCAGCCUCCUUGCAUAGUAAAGCUUUUAUACAACAGAAAACAUGCAUUGAAAAUAACAACUGAAUGAAAUCCCUUUAUAAAAUGUUUAAAUGGCCCACCAGGUGACCAAAUAUACCUGAAGCUUUAAUUGUAUUGUAUUGUUUUGGUAUUUAAUUUUUGUUUUACUUGUGUUAGUAGGUCAGUAGCUUUAUACAAGGAAAUUUGAUUAUUUCUGCAGUUUAUAAUAACAUAAUAACCAUAAUUAUAAUUGACAGCAUAUACUAUUUUAGAAAUCUCAUACAGUUUUGGAACAUAUAUUAGUAUUAUUCACAAAAAUAUAACCUAAAGCAGAUUGAACAUCAUUUUAGCAAUCACAUGUACCCAAACAUGUCAAAUAAUCCUGUUUACCUCCUUUCUGAAUGUUUUCAGUGGCCCUCUGAUCCAUCCAAAAAGCCAGGCAUUAGGAAACAAGCAUGUAUGUGAAAUUUGGCUUUACAUUAUAUCCAGCUUCAUGCUUAACUAUAUUUAAAAAAAUAAUUGCCAAACUGCUGAUGCAUUUUUACAAUACUUUUUAUUUUACUUUAAUCAAAACUAACAGCUUUAUGAAAAUGUUUAAUUAGCCAAACGUCUCCAAUUCUUUAUCAGGGUUUAAAAAAUAUUUUAUGAUUUAAACUUUUCCCACAUUUUUUGCCUAAUGAUUCCUUACUACAUUGUUUUAUGAAUAACCUUUUUAAAUCUGUAAUUUGAACCAACUUUUAGAUAACUAUUGAAUUAGACAAAACUAUUCUCUUUUUUUUUCAUGAAUAACAUAACCCUUUCUGGUACAUUUGGUAUACAGAAUUACAUGUUAAAUAGAAACCUGAAACUUUAGUGAAACCCUAAAAAACAAAAAAUCCUGAACUAAUGGAUAUGGACAAUUCCGCAACUUUAGAAGAGACUUCGGAUAGAAUGGAAGAAGGCAGGCUCACCCUAAGUAGCUCCCAGCUUGAAUUAACACUGACAUUUAAAAAUAUUUAGCAAAGACAAACAUAAAAUUCAGACAAAAUGUAUGCUGAUAAUUAUGAAGGCAUUUAUAUUUUUAUUCCACCAAUAAUUUUAAAGCUAGCUUGUUUAGUAAAGUUAUACUUUAAGUCACAUGAACUUGAAAAUUGCUUAGACUUACUUAUGAGUGCUCUUUUACUUAUAAGCCAAUUUGGUAGACAUAACAUAUAACAGUAAGUGUACAUGCAAAUAAAGACAUCUAGACAUGUAUACACACACAUAAAUGAAGACUCAAUAGCUUGGAACCUUAGCCAUGAGAUAGCAAUAGAAACUUACUGGUUUUACUUUGCCCCAGUAGAUAAUCCAAUGAAGGCUGUGAACCAAAAUUUUGGGUAAAGCAGUCUCCAUGGCAGUUUGAUUUUUAAAGGCCAAACCUCCCCAGAAUCCAAAGAGCACUGGGGCCAAACCAUACCAAAGGAGGGCAUCACACAUUAACCAGGUCCCCUGCUUGGAACCACAGCACAAAAGCCUGCAUAGAUACAAUGCCAUUCCACUUUUCCAUUCAACAGUAAACUCCAAAUUCCAAACAAUGUUGGGGCCAAACAGCAUUGCAACUAUGAGAGAAAAUUCCAAGGAGGGUUUAGUACCAGACCUCAGAACCUCUGCCAAGAACGUCCCCUUUGGGAAGGUUGAGGUCCGCAGGACCCACAGAGUAUCCUCCUGUGGAUCCGAUCUCAGUGUCAGAUGUCUCUGACCUUAGGUGGGCACCUCCAGAGCACACUAUAAGCUUUAUAAAAAUAGCCAUGAACUGCAAUGAGAACUGGAUGCCGGGUGGGCCUUUUUGUUCCGUAGCCAGUUGAGUACGGUAAGGGAAGAAUUUAGCAUAAGAAGGUUUAAGUCCCUUAAAACAUGUGCGAGUUUGCUCUGAACUGCGCCACACAUAGGGAUCGGGGACCACGUGCAGAAAAGAUAAAAAAAAAAGUCAUUCCCCCUUCUGGGCAGGGCAAUUAUAAACAGCGACUUAAAGACUGAGAAAUAAAGGAAAAAAAAAUGAAAAAGACCCAGGUUCCUUAAGCAAACCAGGAGGUGGCAGUCAGCCUUCUCUGCACGGAAACCCAUUAGUUUCACAGGCCACAGCCAGAAACCUGCAGUUGCCUCCACGUUUAGGUGCUGCCCACCAAGUGUUCCAAGUUGGAAAUGAAAAGAGAAAGCUCUUGUAUGGAGCAGAAAGGAAAGAGAGAAAAAUGAAUCCCAAACUUUGGGCUUACUUCUUCCUCCUGGCUGGCCAAAAUAUACGUUACCAGUUGUAGGUGUCCAGGUCCUUGACGUCUUUAACAAAGAAUUGGACAAAACGCACAAAGCAAGGAAGGCAUGAAGUGAUUUAUUGAAAAUGAAAAUACACUCCACAGUGUGGGAAAAAGCCCAAGCGUAGGGGCUCAAAGGCCCCAUUACAGAAUUUUUGGGAGUUUAAAUACCCCCUAGUAUGCCCUAUGUAAAUGGAGAGGAUGAAAUAAAGUUACAAAGUUAUUUAUGGCCCAUGCCCUAUGGAAAGGUGAAGUGUGAAGUGGUCUUAUGUUUUCUGCCUCCAGACUCUAUUUUCCUGCCUCAAUAUAAUGGGGGAGUCUCUUCAACAAAUUGUGUUACAAAAACUGAAUAUCCAUAUUCAGAGGAAUAAAACUAGACCUCUAUCUCUUGCCAUCUAAAAAAAAUUAAAUCAAAACGGAUUAGAGACAAAUCUAAGACAUCAAACUAUGAAACUACUACAAAAAACAUUGGUGAAACUCUCCAGGAAAUUAAACUGAACAAAGAUGUCUUGAGUAAUACCCCACAAGCACAGGCAGCCAACGCAAAAAUGAACAAAUGGAAUCACAUCAGUUAACGAGCUUCUAAACAGGAAGUGAAACAAUCAACAAAGUGAAGAGACAACACAUAAAAUGGGAGAAAAUAUCUGGAAACUGCCUAUAAGGAAUUAAUAACAAGAAUACAUAAGGCACACAAACAGCUCUAUAGGAUAAAAUCUGAUGAUAAAUAAGCAAAAAAUUUGAAUAGAAAUUUCUCAAAAGAGAGCCUACAAAUAACAAAAAGCCAUAUGACAGGGUGCUCAACAUUAUUUAUCAUCAGAGAAAUGCAAAUCAAAAUGACAAUGAGAUAUUAUCUCACCCCAGUUACAAUGGCUUUUAUCCAAAAGUCAGGUGAUUAAUAAAUGCUGGUGAGGAUGUGGAGAAAAGUGAAAGUUGAACUCUAGUACUCUCUUGGUGGGAAUGUAAAUUACUACAAUGACCAUGGAGACCAGUUUAGAGGUUCCUCAAAAAAUGAAAAAUAAAGCUACAAUAUUAUCCAGCAAUCCCAUUGCUAGGUAUGUACAUAAAAGAAAGGAAAUCAGGACAUCAGAGAGAUAUUUGAAGCUCCAUUUUCACUGCAGCAGUGUUCACAUUAGCCAAAAUUUAGAAGCAACCUAAGUGUCCCUUACAUGAAUGGACAAAGUAAAUGUGGUGCACAUACAUAACAGAGUACUUUUCAAUCAUAAAAAAGAACAAGAUCCCAUCAUCUUCAACAACAUGGAUGGAACUAGAGGUCAUUAUGUUAAGAAAAAUAAGCCAAGCACAUGAAGGCAAACGUUGCAUGUUCUCACACAUUUGCUGGAGCUAAAAUUAAACUAAUUCAUAGAGACAGAGAGCAGAAGGAUUGUUACCAGAGGCUGGAAAGUGUAGCAGGGGACUGGGGGAAGUGGGGAAGAUUAAUGGGUAGAAAAAUAAUUAGAAAGAGUAAGAUGUAGCAGUUGCUAGUACACAGAGUGACUAUAGUCAAAAGCAAUUUAAUUGUACAUUUUUAAAUAACUAAAAGAAUGUAGUUAGGUUGUCUGUAAAACAAAGAAUAAACACUUGAGGUAAUGAAUACCCAUUUACCCUGAUAUGAUUUUUAUGCAUUUCAUGCCUACAUCAAAAUAUCUCAUGUAACCCAUAGAUACAAAAAGCUACUGUGUACUCAUAAAAAUUUAAAAUCCUGAACCAUAUACAAAAACUAUCUUGAAUAAAUUAAAUAUUUAAAUGUAAGAAGCAUAACUCUACAAUUUUUGGAAGAAAAUACAGGAAGAAAGAUUAUGACAUUGGUCUUGGCAAUGUUUUCUUGCAUAUAGCAUCAACUACAUGAGUAACAAAUUUAAAAACACAGAAAAAUGGACUACAUUAAAUUUAUCUCUGAACAUUAAAAUAAACAUUUAGUCAGUCCCGAGUAAGAAAAAAAAAAGUAAAAAGUAUACAUUUGACAGAAGUUAACACCCAGAAUAAACUCCAAAAAGUCAACAAAGAGUAAGUAAUAUGAUUAACAAAUGAACAGGAGGUGAAAAUGUUUCUCCAAAGAAUAAAUACACACAGCAAACAAUUAUUGAAAAAAUUUUUAAUCUUUAGAAAAAUGUAAAGCAAAACCACAAUGAGGUAUUAUCGUGUAUUAAUUGGAAUGGCCAAUAUCAAGCAAACAAAAAAUAACAAAUGUCAACAAUGUAGAUGAAUUGAAACCCUUGUGCACUGCUGGUGGGAAGAAAGUGAUGCAGCCCCUAAAAAAUGUAUAGGGGUUCCUCCAAAAAAAAAAUGAAGUUAUUCUAUGACCCACUAAUUCUACUUCUGAGCAUCCUAUUCAAAAUAUGCAAAGUAUAUCUGACAGAAAUAUUUGCACAUCCAUGUUUACUGCAGCAAUAUUCACUGUAUUAGUUUAUUCUUGCAUUGCUAUAAAUACCUGAGACUAGGUAAUUUUUUUUUUUAGAAAAAGGUUUAAUUGGCUCGUGGUUCUGCAGGCUGUACAGGAAGCAUAGCAGCUUCUGUUUCUAGAGAGGCCUCAAAAAGCUUCCAAUUAUGGUAGAAAGCAAACAAAGAGUGAGUCACCUCACAUAGUGGGAGCAGGAGCAAGAGACAGUGAAAGGAGAGGUGCCACAUGCUUUUAAAAAAUGAGAUCUCAGGAGAACAAACUCACUAUGCCAAAGACAGUACCAAAGGGGAUGGUGUUAACCAUUCAUGAGAAGCCAACCCUACCAUCCCAUCACCUCCCACCAGGCCCACCUCCAACACUAGGGACUGCAACUUGACAUGAGAUUUGAAUGGGGACCCAGAUCCAAACUAUAUCACUUACAAAAGCCAAAAAGUGAAAAAACUCAAACACCCUUCAAUAGAUGAAUGAUUUAAAAAGAUGUGGCUUAUACAUACAAUGAAAUAUUCCUUAGCUUCAAAUGAAAAUAUCUUGUCAGAUGCUACAAUAAGGAUAAAUCUUAAAGCCAUUAUUUUAAGUGAAAUAAGAUACUAAUAAAGUGACAGUGUAUGAUUCCACUUAGGUAAGAUAUCUUAAGUAGUAAACUCACAGAAAACACAAGUAGAAAGGUGCUUGCCUUUGGCUAGGGUUGUGAAACCUCAGUGGAGCCAAAGAUCAAGUAGGGAUAUUUGGAAAAAGCAGGGCCUCACCCAGGUGGCCAACUCAAGAGCCCAUAGACAUGGCUGCAGAUAAAACAUGGCACACUAAGCUUGGUCUUACUAAGGAUGCUGAAGCAGUUCUGCAACCUGUCUCAAACUCCUCUCAGCUACAGUACACAAGUGGUCCUUCCUAUCAAGAGACCUGCAAGGAGACACACCCAGCCAUGGACCUGGAGGCAGCUUCUAUCUUAACAUAUUACUAAAAAUUUGUAUGAGAACAAUUAGGCAAGGAAAAGGAAAACGAAGCUCUCCAGCUUUGGGAAAGAAAUAAAAACAUUACUGUCUGUAGAUUAUAUAAUCAUGCACAUAUAUAUAACUCUAGAGUAAAUGAACAAAAACUCAAUAAAUGCAUUCAUUAAAGCAUCAGGAUACAUAAUCUUGUGAAAGGAAAAUAAAUCUUGGAACUCUUGGGGCCCCCAAAAUCACUAAGCUAAACCGUCAAGCUGGGUACUGCCUAGGGCAAACCUGCCUCCCAUUCUAUUCAAAGUCAUCCCUCUGCUCACUGAGAUAAAGGGACAUCUGAUUGCCUCCUUUGGACAGACAAAUCAGAAACUCAAAAGAAUGCAGCAGUUUGUCUCUCAUGUACCUGUGACCUAGAAACACUAUCCCUGCUUAAGCUGUCCUGCCUUUCAAGAUGGAACCAAUGUACAUCUUACACAUAUUGAUUUAUGUCUCAUGUCUCCUUAAAAUGUAUAAAACCAAGCUGUGCCCAAACCACCUUGGGCACACGUCAUCAAGACUUCCUAAGGCUGUGUCAGGGGCACGUGUCCUAAACCUUGACAAAAUAAACUUUUUUUUUUUUUUUUUUAAGACAAGAGUCUCACUCUGUCUCCAGGCUGGAGUAGUGGUGCAAUCUCAGCUCACUGUAAUUUCCACCUCCUGGGUUCAAGUGAUUCUCCUGCCUCAGCCUCCCUAGUAGCUGGGACUACAGGCGCGUGCCACCACGCCCAGCUAAUUUUUGUAUUUUUAGUAGAGAUGGGGUUUCACCACGUUGGCCAGGAUGGUCUUGAUCUCUUGACCUUGUGAUCCACCCACCUUAGCCUCCCAAAGUACUGGGAUUACGGUCGUGAGCCACUGUGCCUGGCCAGCAAAAUAAACUUUCUACAUUAACUGAGACCUGUCUCAGAUUUUCAGAGUUAAUACUCUGUUGCCCAGGUUCAUCUUAAACUCCUAUGCUCAAGUGAUCUAUCAGCCUUGGCCUCUGAAAGUGCUGGGAUUACAGAAAUGAGUCACUGGAACUGGCCCAACAUAAAAAUAUGUGUUGCAUUUCCAAAUAGUAACAACAAACUUUCCAAAAACAAACAAACAAAAAAGAAACAAUUUUCAUUUGCAACAAUUUAAAAAUAAAAAAUUUAAUCAUAGUAAAUUUAACCGAUGAGAUUAAAUAUGUAUACACUAAAUACAAUAAGAUGUUAAUGACAGAAAUUUCAGUAGACACAAAUAAAUGGAAAAAUAUUCCAUUAGAAUAACUAAUACUGUCAAAGUACCGUAUUAUCAUAAGUGAUCUAUAUAUUCAAAGUGAAAAUUUUAGUGUCAUUUUUCACAGUAAUAGAAAACACAAUUUUGAAACUUAAGUGUAACCUUAAACAACUUUAACACUGAUUGGCUGGGCACGGUGGCUCACGCCUGUAAUCCCCAGCACUUUGGGAGGCCGAGGUGGGCAGAUCACGAGGUCAGAUAGAGACCAUCCUGGCUAACAUGGUGAAACCCCAUCUCUACUAAAAAUACAAAAAAUUAGCCGGGCGUGGUGGCGGGCACCUGUAGUCCCAGCUACUUGGGAGGCUGAGGCAGGAGAAUGGUGUGAACCCGGGAGGCAGACCUUGCAGUGAGUAGAUAUCGCGCCACUGCACUCCAGCCUGGGUGACAGCGAGACUCCAUCUCAAAAACAAAACAAAACAAAACAAAACAAAAAAACUUUAACAUUGAUUGAUGGUGAUUGUUAGUGCCUGAGGGUGGAAAAUACGGAAAUGUUGUUCAAAGAGUACAAAUUUUUAGUUGUAACUUGAGUAACUCUGAAAAAUCUAAAGUACAUUCAGCAUUAGAUCAGCAAAAUAGCAUUAUUUAUAGUUAGUAAUACUGUAAUGUAUGCUUACAAUUUGCUACAACAGUAGACCUUAAGUGUUCUUACUACAAAAAAACUGGUUAUCUACCUGAGGUAAUAGAUGUGUUCACUAACUUGACUAUAUUUUAUUUUACAAUGUAUAUACAUAUCAAAUCAUUAUACUGUACACAUUAUACAAUUUUUAUUUAUCAGAAAAAUCCAGGUUGCACAUGUAUGUACAGUAAGUCCUCACUUUAUGUUCAAAAUAGGUUCAUGAAAAGUGCAUCUUUAAAUGAACAUUGUUGCUAUAUGUCAUG